Scylla paramamosain (green mud crab) is the source of this 816-nucleotide long non-coding RNA. RefSeq lists it as uncharacterized. The transcript is spliced from 2 exons. The record is from RefSeq and is a predicted model, not a curated record. NCBI's taxonomy places the organism in Eukaryota, Metazoa, Arthropoda, Malacostraca, Decapoda, Portunidae.
CACGAACGGGGUCACACACACACUGCCUCUCGAAUCACAAUAUCUAUGCAUUCAGUGAUACAGGAUACAGAGAAUGAGAGAGGACACAAUACAAGAGUCCCCCCGUCAAAUAUGGCCUUCAUAGAAAAUGGGAAACUGAUGGAUGUCAAGUGAAAUAACCCAAGUCAACAAGUGCUCCCCCGUUUUCUAUGCAACGUCCCACCGUGUUUUAUGAGGGAAUACUUAAGAGAAAUCACUACAAAUAUUUAGACAGGUCCUUAAAUGUACUUGUCUGGUUUUAGAGGCGAGAAUAUAAUGAAAACUUGUACGAUUUUCACCUCCAUCGUCCUGUGAGGGGAUAAACUAGUCAAGAUUUUUAGUUAUCGAUCUUUCUUCCUCCGUAACUCCAGGAAGGAAAGGAAGAAACGAAGAGGAAAAAAGGAAAACAAGAGAAUUGGUUGUGUUCUUCAGAAUCAUUGUUUUGCUGGAAAGAAAACGAGAAGAGGGAAGAAAGAAAACGGGAGGAAAUAGUUACAGAUUUUUUCCCUGCCAAUGGUCUUCUCUCCUGUGUUAACCUCAGCGUGCACCGGCUUACCUCCACACCUCCAUCCUCCUCCUCCACCUCCUCCACCUCUUCCUCCUCCUCCUCCACCUCCCUUACGCGUGCAUCUCUUCACAUCUCCCACACACAAACAUUAUUAGGCCUCUUUUUUUAGGCUCUUUUCCGCCCUUGAAGUACGUCGUUUCUCUCUCUCUCUCUCUCUCUCUCUCUCUCUCUCUCUCUCUCUCUCUCUCUCUCUCUCUCUCUCUCUCUCUCUCUCUCUCUCUCUCUCUCUA